GCUGGGUGUGGUGGCGCAUGCCUGUAAUCCCAGCUACUUGGGAGGCUGAGGCAGGAGAAUCACUUGAACCCGGGAGGCAGUGGUUGCAGUGAGCUGAGAUCGUGCCACUGCACCCCAGCCUGGGCAUCAGAGCGAGAUCCUGCCUCAA
This is an unclassified non-coding RNA of Callithrix jacchus (white-tufted-ear marmoset), 148 nucleotides long. It matches the Rfam family "Metazoan signal recognition particle RNA". From Rfam's summary of the family: The signal recognition particle (SRP) is a universally conserved ribonucleoprotein. It is involved in the co-translational targeting of proteins to membranes. NCBI's taxonomy places the organism in Eukaryota, Metazoa, Chordata, Mammalia, Primates, Cebidae. The record is from Ensembl.